Neofelis nebulosa (Clouded leopard) is the source of this 1586-nucleotide long non-coding RNA. RefSeq lists it as uncharacterized. The record is from RefSeq and is a predicted model, not a curated record. NCBI's taxonomy places the organism in Eukaryota, Metazoa, Chordata, Mammalia, Carnivora, Felidae. The transcript has 3 exons.
CCUGGGGAGAGGGACGGCAGGAGAGUGAGCAGUGGCGGGGCCAGAGUCUGGGGACAACGCAGAAGCUCCUAGGCAGAAGGACCUGCUAUUUAAGGAAGGGGCAGACAUAAAAGGAGGACACAAAGAUCAAACAACCGUCACUCACAUGCCCACCGCUGAGAAACAACCCCAUUACUUAGUCUUUACGACAAAACACUGUUAACAAUUAUUGCUGUCAUUUUGCAGCCGAAGCAGUGGUGCACAGAGAGGUCAGGAGACCUGCCCAGUCACAGGACGAUUAAGUGGCAGAGCCGGUAAUCGGAUUUGGGUUGGGUUGGUGUUACAGCCCACAUCCUCUUCUACCUAGCUGCCUGUGUUCAAUGUUCCCACUGCUUGCUCACCAAUGCCAACCUCCCGUAGGCCCACCCCUCCACUGGGGCCCAGAAACGGAAGCAACCAAGUCAGCGCCUCAGCAAGCAGGGAAGAAAACCGCAGACCACUUCCUUCCGGAUGCCCAAAGCAGACUUUCCCCUCCGGUCCCACAGGCUCCAGCCAACAGGAUGGUCCUCAAACCACCUGCAGCCGCGUCUCCUGCUAGGGCACCCUGCGGCAGGGCAAAAUCCUCACAGUCCCCCUGGAGAACCGAAGACAUCUUGAUGGAGACACAAUUCACCAAUCAUCAAAGGAACCCAUUUAGAGCGCACGACUGAAUAGUUUCAGUGUAUUCACGGAGUUGUGCAACCAGCACCACGAAGUUCAGAACAUUUUCAUUCCUCCAGAAAGAAACCCCGUGCUCGGGAGCGGUCAGUUCCCAUUUCCCCUCAACCGCUCCAGUUCUAGGCCACCACUAAUGUACUUUCUGUUUCUAGAGAUCUGUCCAUUCUGUUUACAUAAACAGAAUCUUCAUUUAUGGUUUGUCUUUUUAUUCAUUUGUAUGUAUAUUUAUUUAUUUCGGGGUGUGUGUAGGGGAGACAGCAUGAGCAGGGGAGGGGGAUAGACAGGCAGAGAAAGAGAGAGACAGAAUCCUAAGCAGGCUCUACACUCAGUGUGGAGCCUGACGUGGGGCUCAAUCUCACGAACCUGGGAUCACGACCGGAGCCAAAAUCAAGAGUUGAACGCUAAACUGAGCCACCAAAGUGCCCCAAUAUAAAAGGAAUCUUAUAAAUGUGGUCUUUGUGUCUGCCUUCUCUCUGAACAUCAGGUUUUCUAGGUCCAUCCAUGUUGUAGCAGGCAUCAGUAUUUAUUACUAACUAGUAUUCCAAGGUAUGGAUGUAGCAUAUUUGGUCUGUCUGCUCAUCAGCUGAUGGGCAUCUGGGUUGUUUCUGCUUUGGGGCAGUUAUGAAUAAUGCUGCCACGAACAUUCACGUAACCAUUUCUGUGUGGAUGUAUGUUUUCCGUUCCCUUGGGUACACGUCUAUGAGUGCAACUGAUGGGCCAUUCGGUAACUAUGCCUAACUUUCUGAGGAAUUUCCAAACUCUUUCCCUAAGUGACUACACCAUUUUACAUUCCCACCACAUAUGGGGAUUCCAAUUUCUCCACAUCCUUUCCGACGUUUUUAUUAUCUGUUUGAUUAUAGCCAUCCUCACGUGUGUGAAGUACCGUCUUG